Molecule: non-coding RNA, 2075 nt
Organism: Ictidomys tridecemlineatus (thirteen-lined ground squirrel)
Lineage: Eukaryota; Metazoa; Chordata; Mammalia; Rodentia; Sciuridae
Source: RefSeq, a predicted model, not a curated record
CUAGGCCCAGUUGAGUGUGCAGAAUACUCUGCUAGCAUUUCCCAUGUUGGUUUUUGUUUUUGCGUCUGGGGGUAUUGAACCCAGGAGUGCUUUACCACGAAGUUGAUUCUCCCCCCCCCCGCCCCCCGCCCGUUUAUUUUUUUCAUGGCUGAGGACCGAACUCAGGGGAUUUUGUGAAAAGGAGAUUCUGAAUCUGUAGCUCUGGGUAGGACCUGAGAAUCUGCAUUUCCACAAGCCCUCAAGUGAUAGAAUCCGGGCUGGUCAUUUGUCAUUAAACCACACUGAGUGAGAGGGUGCAGACGAUUGUUUAUUCUCAUUCAUUAGUUCAGUUGGGCUACAGAUUAGCAGAAAGAGACACCACCCACCUCCAUUCCCAUUGUCCAGCCCUACACCUGUGACUUUAACAAAUUUAUUCUUUUACAAAUUUAUUAUUUUAUUGAGGUGAGAAGUCCUAAAUGAGUCUUCAAGGCUAAAAACAAAGUGUCAGAAGGCUUCUGAAGAUUCUGCGGAAGAAUCCAUUCCUUGCCUUUUCCUGCUUCUAGAGGCUGCCCUUGGUUUCUGGCUUUGAUGACAUUAUUUCUUCUUUCUCUGCUUGCCCUUCCUGUCUGACCUUGCUGGUCUGUCUUAUAAAGAUGCUGUGAUUACAUUAUACUGACUUGGAUAAUCUACUCCUCAUCUCCAGAUGCUUAAUUUAAUCACAUUUCCAAAGUCCCUUUUGCCAUAUAAGGUAACAUAUUAAUAAGUUUCAGGUAUUAGGACACAGAAACCUUUGGGGGCCACUAUUUAGCCCUAGAACUAAGACAUUCUCUCCCUGAAGAAAGUUAAUAAAUUAUACUGUAUAAUCUACAGUUUGCAUUUAACUUGCCUAAUUUUCCCAACAAUAUAUUUUACAGAAUUCUUUUUUCUCGUCAUGACCCAACCUAGAAUCAUGUGUAGUUUUUAUGGCUGUGUAGUCCCCUUUGGUCCAUAUUAGUUCCCUAUCUUUAUUUAAUUUUUCAUGACCUUGACAUUGAUACUGAUUUUGGAGGUCAAGAUCAGGUCCAUGAUCCCCUAGUGUUGAAGAUUAAAUACCCAAGAAAUGUUGAGGCAAGCGUAGAAAGCAAGUUUCAUCUAAGAAAGGGACAGACUUCUCCAGAGAGAAAUGAGGCCCAGAAUAGUGGGUGCAGGUGUGUGUUUCAAAGUGUGAUCCUCUGAGGUGUUGGCAUCCCAUUGAGCUGGGAAGUGUGAUCUAGGAAUCCAGCAAUAACCAGCCAUCAGAAAUUUUACAAUGGUGAAAUCUGGCCAAUGCAACCUCGACCAAGUGAUCAAACUGAGCACUUUGUGACAUCACAUGCCUCCUGAUGGGAUAUGCUCUUCCUUUGGAACAUCCCUGCCUGGCCUGAGGGGACAGAAAAUGUCACAUUCCUCAAAAAACUGAGACGGGGUAGAAGGCCUGGCAGAUAUUGAAUGAUGGGGAUCCAGAGAGGAUGAUGGCUGGUUAUUGCUGGUUAAGGGCAGGACCCUUAAGGUCAGAGGAGCCGUCACAGCGACCCCAAAGAAAAAGAUGAGGAAACCAAGGCUCAGAGAAAUGCAGCAACUUUCCAAUGACCACACAGCUGCAAGUGGCAGCACCAGGCCUGGAACUUGGUCCUUCUGAGCCCAGAGUCUGUGUUCCUCCUGCUCUGCUUCAUGGCCAUGCCUCCUUGAACCUUCUAGCUUGAGCCACCUUCCCUCCUGCUUGUCAAAUGGAUUAACAGGUAGAUAUGUGUGUGCAUUAAAGGCCUCAGCCUUCCUAACCUCGAAUAUAUCAAGCUCCUCUCAAGCCUGGUGACCCCAGGACCUACUGUCUGAUCUACUCCAACUGGAGAACUUUGGAACAAGUCUGCUUGAACAUAAGGGCGACUGGCAAGUAUGCAUUUGUUGGUUCUUUUGAGAAGGGUGAUUCAGUGGUUUGGAUCUUAAAUGUCCCCAAAGGCCAGAUGCUGUCAUCUGGAUCUCUAGCCUGAGGUGCUAUAGGGAGAUGGUGCAACUCUACAGGAGUGAGGCCCAGUGGAAGCCCUUGAAAGGGGAUUGUGAGACUCUGACUGCUUUCUCUU